GAUGCUCAGCGUAGCACAGAGCCUGGAGGCACUGACCUGCUUGCAUGGAUGAGGGAGCUGCUGUUGCACAGGGCAGAGUGCUGGCCUGGGGUCUGAUCCCAUUAGGAGGCAGUGAUGGAGAGCCAUCACAGUGUGACCUCUGGAAGUGGUUACUGAGGAAUUGACAACUGUGUGAUAACAGCAACAUCAGACCCCUGCUCAGAAUCCUUGGUGGUACCUGUGGCUCCUCUGCAUCACUUGAAUGUUGUGUGGCACAUUUCACAGAGCAACCCGCUGGCACAGAACGUGCCCAGGUUCCAGCUCUUGCUUUGGCUACAUCAUUUCAUGUUUUGAGUUUUCAGCCAGCUGCUCUGCCACAAAGUAGGAUAUGACAAGGGCUUGCAUGUUCUCUUAUACUUCAUGUGAGCCAUAAGUUUUUGGAUGCACAGUUACCUCCGACCAUUCUCAGAUGGUUGCUGAGCUUCCAACUCAUAGCAAAAAUGUUAUGAUAACUUUAUUAACAAAAUUACAGCUAAAUUCAGUGUGUAUGCUUGUGGUUUUAAUGUUCUUGACCAGAAAAUCAUGGAGAAAAGGAUUACCUUAUGUUGUUGUUUAUAUAAUGUGGUCUUUUGGAAUGUGUGUCAACCUGUGGCAGGGGCAUUGGAAUUAAAUGAUCUUUAACUUCCUUCCCACCCAAACCAUUCUAGGAUUCUGUGAUAUUGUGGAGACUUAGAGUUGUUUUAAGCAGCUGUUACAAUUUUUUUUUUCUGGAUAGGCAUAUUCUGUUCAGCUUAUUUUUAGAUUUUGCUGUUAUUUCAACAAUUGUUCAGCAAACAAUAAA
Molecule: long non-coding RNA, 820 nt
Organism: Hirundo rustica (Barn swallow)
Lineage: Eukaryota; Metazoa; Chordata; Aves; Passeriformes; Hirundinidae
Exons: 3
Source: RefSeq, a predicted model, not a curated record